This is a long non-coding RNA of Astyanax mexicanus (Mexican tetra), 421 nucleotides long. RefSeq lists it as uncharacterized. The record is from RefSeq and is a predicted model, not a curated record. The transcript is spliced from 4 exons. NCBI's taxonomy places the organism in Eukaryota, Metazoa, Chordata, Actinopteri, Characiformes, Acestrorhamphidae.
GGAGGAGCAGGAGCAGGGCCAGCAGCAGCUGGAUGAGGAGGAGGAGGAGGAGGAGCAGGGGGGCGAGCAGGAGCAGCAGCAGCAGCAUCAGGAGAAGCAGGGUGCGCCGAAAGCAGGACAAUCCAUCCUCCAGUGUCAGAAAGCUUGCUGCAGGCGUAAAAUCCUGACACUGGAGAGGAUGAUUGUCCUGCUGAAGGCCAAAAUUCACCUUAAACAGAUAUCAAACUAAGUUACACUUCGAUCAAUUUAAACUGAAGGUGAAGCAGAUGAUGCCCAAUAGGCUUAUGCGACGUGGUGAGCGCAUGUGCCAGAGGCGUCGUCAGAGUUCAGAGAAAAUGAGACAGCUAGUGUGCCCUUUGUACCAUGUUACGUACAGUAACUUGCCUAAACACCUGGCCGGGGUUCACAUAUCGGGCUUGCA